This 397-nucleotide ribosomal RNA is filed under the name uncultured bacterium. Its description in RNAcentral is "bacterial SSU rRNA". It matches the Rfam family "Bacterial small subunit ribosomal RNA", at positions 28 to 430 of the family's 1533-position model. The record is from RNAcentral.
GACGAACGCUGGCGGCGUGCUUAACACAUGCAAGUCGAGCGGUAAGGCCCUUUCGGGGGUACACGAGCGGCGAACGGGUGAGUAACGCGUGGGUGACCUGCCCUCAGCUCUGGGGUAAGCCUGGGAAACUGGGUCUAAUACUGGAUAUGACUCCACGGUGCAUGUCGUGGGGUGGAAAGCCUUGUGCGGCUGAGGAUGGGCCCGCGGCCUAUCAGCUUGUUGGUGGGGUGAUGGCCUACCAAGGCGACGACGGGUAGCCGGCCUGAGAGGGCGACCGGCCACACUGGGACUGAGACACGGCCCAGACUCCUACGGGAGGCAGCAGUGGGGAAUCUUGCGCAAUGGGCGAAAGCCUGACGCAGCGACGCCGCGUGAGGGAUGACGGCCUGGUGUAACU